RNAcentral lists this ribosomal RNA (252 nucleotides) under Escherichia coli. Its description in RNAcentral is "partial 23S ribosomal RNA". It matches the Rfam family "Bacterial large subunit ribosomal RNA", at positions 2679 to 2925 of the family's 2925-position model. The record is from RNAcentral. Lineage: Bacteria; Pseudomonadati; Pseudomonadota; Gammaproteobacteria; Enterobacterales; Enterobacteriaceae.
UAGUACGAGAGGACCGGAGUGGACGCAUCACUGGUGUUCGGGUUGUCAUGCCAAUGGCACUGCCCGGUAGCUAAAUGCGGAAGAGAUAAGUGCUGAAAGCAUCUAAGCACGAAACUUGCCCCGAGAUGAGUUCUCCCUGACUCCUUGAGAGUCCUGAAGGAACGUUGAAGACGACGACGUUGAUAGGCCGGGUGUGUAAGCGCAGCGAUGCGUUGAGCUAACCGGUACUAAUGAACCGUGAGGCUUAACCUU